UACGUAGGGUGCAAGCGUUAAUCGGAAUUACUGGGCGUAAAGGGCGCGUAGGCGGUGCAUCAAGUCAGGCGUGAAAGCCCCGGGCUCAACCUGGGAAUUGCAUUGGAGACUGCAAGGCUAGAAUCUGGCAGAGGGGGGUAGAAUUCCACGUGUAGCAGUGAAAUGCGUAGAGAUGUGGAGGAACACCGAUGGCGAAGGCAGCCCCCUGGGUCAAGAUUGACGCUCAUGCACGAAAGCGUGGGGAGCGAACAGG
Molecule: ribosomal RNA, 253 nt
Filed under: uncultured bacterium
Lineage: Bacteria
Description: partial 16S ribosomal RNA
Rfam family: Bacterial small subunit ribosomal RNA
Source: RNAcentral